Molecule: long non-coding RNA, 199 nt
Filed under: Elaeis guineensis (African oil palm)
Lineage: Eukaryota; Viridiplantae; Streptophyta; Magnoliopsida; Arecales; Arecaceae
Description: long non-coding RNA (EGUI_LNC020468)
Source: RNAcentral
GUGGUGGCCAUAGGUAGAUCACGAGCGUGUUCGGAGAGCUGUCAAAGCUUUCACUUCCUCUGUCAAAUCCCGAUUAAAAAAGAGAUGGAGAGCGGAGAGAAGAAAAGAAAAGGAGAGAGAGAAAGGCAGUGGAGAGGUCGUUAGAGAGCCUCUGACUGGCUAUCAUGACCGUCGGAUGGCGCAAUUGUGUCCGAUGAUG